AUUCAUAUUCCUAUGGGGCUUCCGU
RNAcentral lists this non-coding RNA (25 nucleotides) under Rattus norvegicus (Norway rat). Lineage: Eukaryota; Metazoa; Chordata; Mammalia; Rodentia; Muridae. The record is from RNAcentral.